RNAcentral lists this ribosomal RNA (388 nucleotides) under uncultured eukaryote. RNAcentral's name for it is "partial 18S ribosomal RNA". It matches the Rfam family "Eukaryotic small subunit ribosomal RNA", at positions 592 to 976 of the family's 1831-position model. The record is from RNAcentral.
CAAUAGCGUAUAUUAAAGUUGUUGCAGUUAAAAAGCUCGUAGUAGGAUUUCUGAUCGAGACAUCAGGUCGGGUCCGAGAGGAUCAUGUACUUUGAUUUUGUUUUGAUCAUCCUUGGGGAGAGCAUUUCUGGCAUUCAGUUGUCGGGAUUGGGAUCCUCAUCGUUUACUGUGAAAAAAUUAGAGUGUUCAAAGCAGGCCUCGGCCUCUGAAUACAUUAGCAUGGAAUAAUAAGAUAGGACUUUGGUGGUCUAUUUUGUUGGUUUGCACGCCAAAGUAAUGAUUAAUAGGGAUAGUUGGGGGUAUUCGUAUUCAAUUGUCAGAGGUGAAAUUCUUGGAUUUAUGGAAGACGAACUACUGCGAAAGCAUUUACCAAGGAUGUUUUCAUUAA